This 253-nucleotide ribosomal RNA is filed under the name uncultured bacterium. RNAcentral describes it as "partial 16S ribosomal RNA". It matches the Rfam family "Bacterial small subunit ribosomal RNA", at positions 524 to 776 of the family's 1533-position model. The record is from RNAcentral.
UACGUAGGGUCCGAGCGUUGUCCGGAAUUACUGGGCGUAAAGUGUGCGCAGGCGGCCGCGCAAGUCGAGUGUGAAAGCCCCGGGCUUAACUUGGGAAUUGCGCUGGAAACUACGUGGCUGGAGUGUGGCAGAGGAAGGUGGAAUUCCACGUGUAGCGGUGAAAUGCGUAGAUAUCUGGAGGAAUACCGGUGGCGAAGGCAGGUCUCUGGGCUGACACUGACGCUCAUGCACGAAAGCGUGGGGAGCAAACAGG